UUUUCAAUGGGAUCACCUAUCCUAAAAUUUCUCUAGCUCUAAACUCGUUCAAUUUUCUUAAGCUCUUAGGCGUAACCAUCGCCCAAAAUAUUUUAAUCGUAUUAAGAGGUUUAGCCCUUAUAAGACUAUUUUAAAUCUUGAAGGUGUCACAUCACUUCCCGCCCUAAGUCCUAAUCGAAGUUCUCGUCAGACUCAAACAUAUUCACAAGUAUCAAACAAUAUGAGACUCAUCUGACUAGUUUUAACUAAUCUUCUGGAGAGCUGCACUUCACCUACAACAGUUAUCAACCGAAGAGCAACGCUCUUAUCCGUUGUAUGACUUUAGCUCAGCCGAGACUCAUUUCACACUUUUAGUUGGUUGUU
This 363-nucleotide long non-coding RNA is filed under the name Ananas comosus (pineapple). RNAcentral's name for it is "long non-coding RNA (ACOM_LNC031326)". The record is from RNAcentral. Lineage: Eukaryota; Viridiplantae; Streptophyta; Magnoliopsida; Poales; Bromeliaceae.